GGAGCUGGGCGAUUUUUUCAUUAUUUUUGUUUUGCGAUUUGUUCCUCAUCGCUGUGUAAUCCACGAUGCUUGAUCUGUGAUUUGGAAAAAAGUUUCUAUGAUUUGGGUGAUCUGAGACGGUACGGUGGAAAUGGCAGGCCAGAGGCCUGCUUUUUUUUAAAAUUUUGAAAAUAGCAUCACCGUCGGUCGUUUUAGACGCCCGCCGCUGAUGAUUGUACAUCAGUAACGGUCAUGACCAUCAUUACUGACAGGAAGUGAGUGACGGUCAUCCCGCCCGUUACUGGUGCGGUUUUUCGACCGUUACCGACGACCUUUUCUGUAGCAGUGAUAUAAAAUGAUAGCAUCCAAGUGGAUGUGUAGAAACUUUUGAAGCAGUAAAAACUCAUAACCUCCGCUCACACAAAAGCAUAACUUGGAGAAAUCCAGGCACAU
This 432-nucleotide long non-coding RNA is filed under the name Brachypodium distachyon (stiff brome). RNAcentral describes it as "long non-coding RNA (BDIS_LNC000420)". Lineage: Eukaryota; Viridiplantae; Streptophyta; Magnoliopsida; Poales; Poaceae. The record is from RNAcentral.